UAGGGAAUCUUCCACAAUGGACGCAAGUCUGAUGGAGCAACGCCGCGUGAGUGAAGAAGGUCUUCGGAUCGUAAAGCUCUGUCUUUUGGGACGAUAAUGACGGUACCAAAGGAGGAAGCCACGGCUAACUACGUGCCAGCAGCCGCGGUAAUACGUAGGUGGCGAGCGUUGUCCGGAUUUACUGGGCGUAAAGGGUGCGUAGGCGGAUGUUUAAGUGAGAUGUGAAAUACCCGGGCUUAACUUGGGUGCUGCAUUUCAAACUGGAUAUCUAGAGUGCAGGAGAGGAGAAUGGAAUUCCUAGUGUAGCGGUGAAAUGCGUAGAGAUUAGGAAGAACACCAGUGGCGAAGGCGAUUCUCUGGACUGUAACUGACGCUGAGGCACGAAAGCGUGGGUAGCAAACAGGAUUAGAUACCCUGGUAGUCCACGCCGUAAACGAUGAGUACUAGGUGUAGGAGGUAUCGACCCCUUCUGUGCCGCAGUAAACACAUUAAGUACUCCGCCUGGGAAGUACGAUCGCAAGAUUAAA
Molecule: ribosomal RNA, 527 nt
Filed under: uncultured bacterium
Lineage: Bacteria
Description: partial 16S ribosomal RNA
Rfam family: Bacterial small subunit ribosomal RNA
Source: RNAcentral